GAGGAAAGUCCGGGCUCCAUAGGGCAGGGUGCCAGGUAACGCCUGGGGGGGAAACCCACGACCAGUGCAACAGAGAGCAAACCGCCGAUGGCCCACGCAAGUGGGAUCAGGUAAGGGUGAAAGGGUGCGGUAAGAGCGCACCGCGCGGCUGGUAACAGUCCGUGGCACGGUAAACUCCACCCGGAGCAAGGCCAAAUAGGGGUUCACAAGGUACGGCCCGUACUGAACCCGGGUAGGCUGCUUGAGCCAGUGAGCGAUUGCUGGCCUAGAUGAAUGACUGUCCACGACAGAAUCCGGCUUA
This 301-nucleotide RNase P RNA is filed under the name unidentified bacterium CPB75. RNAcentral describes it as "partial RNAase P". It matches the Rfam family "Bacterial RNase P class A", at positions 43 to 351 of the family's 367-position model. Rfam says of the family: Ribonuclease P (RNase P) is a ubiquitous endoribonuclease, found in archaea, bacteria and eukarya as well as chloroplasts and mitochondria. Its best characterised activity is the generation of mature 5'-ends of tRNAs by cleaving the 5'-leader elements of precursor-tRNAs. Cellular RNase Ps are ribonucleoproteins. The record is from RNAcentral.